CUCUCUUUUUACCUCAGUCGAGAGAAAAAUAAAAAAGUUUACAGGAAGAAAGAGCGAAGCCCAAAAAAUGAAGUGAAAACUUCGAGACUUGAGUUUACAGAAAAUAAUGACGCUUUGAGAGAGUGGAAAAUGCGAACCCUGCCAAGUCUUAUGAGAGGGCUGAGUUUACAGAAAUAAAUGGUGCUUUCGUGGAUCGGCACAGCAGUAGUGUGAACAUAACAAGUCUUAUGAGAUGUAACCUGGACCUAGUGACUCUGUCUCUAGCCUUGUCCUAAUGCAAAUUACUUGGUGGCCACUACCUGGGAUAAUCAGGUUUGCUUGGUUACAUGCUGGGAUGUCAUGCAGAGUCAGGCAAAAAGCAUCCUUAGAUCCAUGAUCAACCAGUAUUUGUUCUGUGCUCUAGCCUCUACUUGAAGGGAUGAUGUUCCCAUAGUGUUUACUAGAGGAUGUGAUAAGAUUGGGAACUGUGGCUUCCAACUCUGGUGGCCAACUUAUGCAAGUUGCUGUGCUUGAUGCACCUAUUAAAGAAGUUGUUUGGAUUGAACAGUUGAAUUGCCUAGUUAUGGCGAACUGGGAUAAUACAUC
Long non-coding RNA from Asparagus officinalis (garden asparagus), 585 nucleotides. RefSeq lists it as uncharacterized. The record is from RefSeq and is a predicted model, not a curated record. The transcript is spliced from 6 exons. NCBI's taxonomy places the organism in Eukaryota, Viridiplantae, Streptophyta, Magnoliopsida, Asparagales, Asparagaceae.